CAGAACUAUCAGCCCCUCGCCUUGGCCCUCGAUGUGCGUGUCACUCCUGCCUCCCUCGACGAGAUCUUCUCCAUGCUCAGCAACUUCGACCAACGCAUGGCUCAGUUCCCCGGCUCUGGCAGUGGCGGCGGCUUCAAGUCAUCUGCAAACGCUGCCUCUUGGGGUCGUGGUGGUGGUUCUGGCUACCGUGGCUCUUCCCGCGGCAAAGGGCAGUCCUCAGGUGGAGGGCACGUGGUGGCAGCGAAGGGCGCUUGA
This 255-nucleotide ribosomal RNA is filed under the name Triticum aestivum (bread wheat). RNAcentral's name for it is "partial small subunit ribosomal RNA". Lineage: Eukaryota; Viridiplantae; Streptophyta; Magnoliopsida; Poales; Poaceae. The record is from RNAcentral.